UCGGGGACCGUGCAUGGUAGGCAGUUUGACUGGGGCGGUCUCCUCCCAAAGUGUAACGGAGGAGCUCGAAGGUCGCCUAGGUACGGUCGGACAUCGUACUGAUAGUGUAAUGGCAUAAGGCGGCUUAACUGCGAGACCGACAAGUCGAGCAGGUGCGAAAGCAGGACAUAGUGAUCCGGUGGUUCUGUAUGGAAGGGCCAUCGCUCAACGGAUAAAAGGUACUCCGGGGAUAACAGGCUGAUACCGCCCAAGAGUUCACAUCGACGGCGGUGUUUGGCACCUCGAUGUCGGCUCAUCACAUCCUGGGGCUGUAGCCGGUCCCAAGGGUAUGGCUGUUCGCCAUUUAAAGUGGUACGUGAGCUGGGUUUAAAACGUCGUGAGACAGUUUGGUCCCUAUCUGCAGUGGGCGUUGGAAGUUUUGAGGGGGG
Molecule: ribosomal RNA, 428 nt
Filed under: uncultured bacterium
Lineage: Bacteria
Description: bacterial LSU rRNA
Rfam family: Bacterial large subunit ribosomal RNA
Source: RNAcentral